This is an unclassified non-coding RNA of Cercocebus atys (sooty mangabey), 102 nucleotides long. It matches the Rfam family "Y RNA". From Rfam's summary of the family: Y RNAs are components of the Ro ribonucleoprotein particle (Ro RNP), in association with Ro60 and La proteins. The Y RNAs and Ro60 and La proteins are well conserved, but the function of the Ro RNP is not known. Lineage: Eukaryota; Metazoa; Chordata; Mammalia; Primates; Cercopithecidae. The record is from Ensembl.
GGCUGGUCUGAGUGCAGUGGUGUUUACAACUAAUUGAUCACAACCAGUUACAGAUGUCUUUGUUCCUUCUCUAAUCCCAUUGCUUCACUUGACUAACCUUAA